RNAcentral lists this long non-coding RNA (223 nucleotides) under Mytilus galloprovincialis (Mediterranean mussel). Lineage: Eukaryota; Metazoa; Mollusca; Bivalvia; Mytilida; Mytilidae. The record is from RNAcentral.
AUAUCUCAUGUAUUAGUCCAAAUAAUUAUGACGUCUGGCAAGGCUAUUUUAUUAUUUUUCUGGGACGCCUUCCUACGACGUUCGUAGGAAGGCGUCCCAGAAAAAAAAUUAACAUAGCCUUGCGGUCAUAGGAAAGUGUUCCAGAAUAAAAUUAAAAAAGCCUUGCCAGACGUAAUAAUUAUUUGGACUACUCAUAUAUAUAUAUAUAUCAUUAAAAAUACAC